Molecule: ribosomal RNA, 434 nt
Filed under: uncultured Lachnospiraceae bacterium
Lineage: Bacteria; Bacillati; Bacillota; Clostridia; Lachnospirales; Lachnospiraceae
Description: partial 16S ribosomal RNA
Rfam family: Bacterial small subunit ribosomal RNA
Source: RNAcentral
ACGGAAGGCAGCAGUGGGGAAUAUUGCACAAUGGGCGAAAGCCUGAUGCAGCGACGCCGCGUGAGUGAAGAAGUAUCUCGGUAUGUAAAGCUCUAUCAGCAGGGAAGAAAACGACGGUACCUGACUAAGAAGCCCCGGCUAACUACGUGCCAGCAGCCGCGGUAAUACGUAGGGGGCAAGCGUUAUCCGGAUUUACUGGGUGUAAAGGGAGCGUAGACGGUUUGGCAAGUCUGAAGUGAAAUGCGGGGGCUCAACUCCUGAACUGCUUUGGAAACUGUCGAACUAGAGUGCAGGAGAGGUAAGUGGAAUUCCUAGUGUAGCGGUGAAAUGCGUAGAUAUUAGGAGGAACACCAGUGGCGAAGGCGGCUUACUGGACUGUAACUGACGUUGAGGCUCGAAAGCGUGGGGAGCAAACAGGAUUAGAUACCCUGGUA